Leptopilina boulardi is the source of this 290-nucleotide long non-coding RNA. RefSeq lists it as uncharacterized. The record is from RefSeq and is a predicted model, not a curated record. The transcript has 3 exons. NCBI's taxonomy places the organism in Eukaryota, Metazoa, Arthropoda, Insecta, Hymenoptera, Figitidae.
AGACAAUUUUUUGAAAAAAAAUAUGCACGUCUUUGUAUGAUAGCAAUGCAAGUUUUUGCGUCAUUCUGGAAAAAAAAAUUAUUAUUCGUGCGACUAGUGUAUCAGAGGAAAUUUUAAUUGCCUUCGUCUCCUACUACACAUUCGGAUAUGCUUAUCCAACGUGUCUAUCCAAAACAUUGGAAUUUAUUCAAAGAGUACUUUUUCGGAUAAAUCCUCCAGGAGAUAAGCCGAUUUUUGUUUUAAGAUAAAAAUUGUAGCAAAAACCUCUCCGUUCGCGAAGUGAUUCUCCU